This is a long non-coding RNA of Mustela erminea (ermine), 384 nucleotides long. RefSeq lists it as uncharacterized. NCBI's taxonomy places the organism in Eukaryota, Metazoa, Chordata, Mammalia, Carnivora, Mustelidae. The transcript has 3 exons. The record is from RefSeq and is a predicted model, not a curated record.
AUUGUCCAAAAGAGUGGAUUACAUAUUCCAAAAAUUGCUAUUACAUUAGCACUGAAAGAAAAUCAUGGAAUGAGAGUCGGUUGUCCUGUGCUUCUAAGAGCUCUACCCUGCUCUCCAUAGAGGAUGAAGAGGAAAUGUAUUUGUUGAGCUUCUUAAUUCGUUCUUCAUGGAUUAGGAGAGAUUCCCAGAACAUCAGUAUUAAUUCAUCUGUGUGGCCAAAAGUCUCCACCUCCUUUCCUAAAGUGUCAUCAGUUUCUUCAGAGAGUGACGAGAAGUGUCCCUUUUUCAACUCUUACUCAAAUAAAACUUCUUUCGAAUCCUGCUUGGAUCAAAAAAUAUAUAUUUGUAAGCUCAGGCAUUUUAGUUACCUAAUUUUGGUAUAAU